Molecule: long non-coding RNA, 543 nt
Filed under: Danio rerio (zebrafish)
Lineage: Eukaryota; Metazoa; Chordata; Actinopteri; Cypriniformes; Danionidae
Description: lncRNA (ENSDARG00000117248.1)
Source: RNAcentral
CCCCCACAAAAGAAUAAUGUGUGCCGUUUUAAAAUGUUACAAGCCCUGGUAGCCAUUUGGCAUACAAAUUAGGGCGAAGGCAAAUUUUCAACCUACUUCAAAAUAUCUUUGUUUUUGUGCAAACAUUGAUUGCUCAAAUGUGAAGAUGCGUGUGUUCUUCUCAAUAUUUUUCAGGAAGGAAAGGCUCCUGAUCACAAUACUGAUGACGAGAUGCGAGAUGCCACCCAUUUGCAAGAUGUAAAUGUGCCAGAGCUCAAAAGGAGAAGAUUGAGUGACGGAGAGUCUGAGCAUGUCGGGGAUGUUACUGAGAGGAGGAGGGAAAACAGCCCAAAGCCACAUACAAUCGUGAGCGAACGGACAUCGACUGAAAGAGAGAUAGAGAUUAAAAUACAGUAUUCCCAUGUCGUUGAUGUUACUGAAAGGAGCCACCGCAGCCCAAACCCCCAUACGAAUGUGAGCGAGCACAGAGCAACUGACAGAGAGACUGUAAUUUUAUUAAAAUAUAUUCAUUCAUAUUCUUUUUCGAUUCAGUCCCUUUAUUAA